Molecule: ribosomal RNA, 468 nt
Filed under: uncultured bacterium
Lineage: Bacteria
Description: partial 16S ribosomal RNA
Rfam family: Bacterial small subunit ribosomal RNA
Source: RNAcentral
GACGAACGCUGGCGGCGUGCUUAACACAUGCAAGUCGAACGGAAAGGCCCUGCUUUUGUGGGGUGCUCGAGUGGCGAACGGGGGAGUAAAACGUGAGUAACCUGCCCUUGACUUUGGGAUAACAUCAGGAAACUGGGGCUAAUACAGGAUAGGAGCUCCUGCUGCAUGGUGGGGGUUGGAGAGUUUCGGCGGUUGGGGAUGGACUCGCGGCUUAUCAGCUUGUUGGUGGGGUAGUGGCUUACCAAGGCUUUGACGGGUAGCCGGCCUGAGAGGGUGACCGGCCACAUUGGGACUGAGAUACGGCCCAGACUCCUACGGGAGGCAGCAGUGGGGAAUAUUGCACAAUGGGCGGAAGCCUGAUGCAGCAACGCCGCGUGCGGGAUGACGGCCUUCGGGUUGUAAACCGCUUUCGCCUGUGACGAAGCGUGAGUGACGGUAAUGUGUAAAGAAGCACCGGCUAACUACGUG